RNAcentral lists this ribosomal RNA (772 nucleotides) under uncultured Neocallimastigales. RNAcentral describes it as "partial large subunit ribosomal RNA". It matches the Rfam family "Eukaryotic large subunit ribosomal RNA", at positions 23 to 645 of the family's 3401-position model. Lineage: Eukaryota; Fungi; Neocallimastigomycota; Neocallimastigomycetes; Neocallimastigales. The record is from RNAcentral.
GAGAGAGACAUGCGCGCAUAUCAAUAAGCGGAGGAAAAGAAACUAACAAGGAUUCCCUUAGUAACGGCGAGUGAAGCGGGAAGAGCUCAAAUUUGAAAUCUUCAAGGUUUUACCUUGACGAAUUGUAGUUUAAAGAAGUGUUUUCUGCUGAAGUUUUGGUAAAAGUUCUUUGGAAUAGGACAUCAUAGAGGGUGAGAAUCCCGUAUUUGACCAUUAUUUCAGCUUUGUGAUACACUUUCAAAGAGUCGGAUUGUUUGGGAAUGCAGUCCAAAAUGGGUGGUAAAUUUCAUCUAAAGCUAAAUAUUGGCGAGAGACCGAUAGCGAACAAGUACCGUGAGGGAAAGAUGAAAAGAACUUUGAAAGGAGAGUUAAACAGUACGUGAAAUUGUCAAAAGGGAAGCGUUUGACACCAGUGUUGUUUUCUCGAAAAUCAAUUAAAAAUGGCUCGAUUUUGUAUUGUUGAGACCUUAAAAGCUCACUGUACAUUUUUCGUGUCUUUUUUAAUGCACUUUUCGUUUAACAAGUCAACAUCAAUUUCUUUUGUUGUAAAAGGGUCAUUGGAAGGUGGCUUUCUUUUCGGAGAAAGUGUUUAUAGCCUUUGGCCUCUGCAAUCGAAGAGACUGAGGUCUGCAGCGUAGACUCUUCGGGGUUAGAUACAUUUGUGCUAAGUUAUAGCUUUUUAUAGACAACUUGUUGACUAUAAUUAGUCUUGUAGCUUACUCGCUUAUGCUAUUUUACCUACGCUUAGGAUGUUGAAGUCAUCGUAUCGCGC